This 601-nucleotide ribosomal RNA is filed under the name uncultured archaeon. RNAcentral's name for it is "bacterial SSU rRNA". It matches the Rfam family "Archaeal small subunit ribosomal RNA", at positions 1 to 602 of the family's 1478-position model. The record is from RNAcentral.
UUCCGGUUGAUCCCGCCGGAGGUUACUGCUAUCGGUGUUCGACUAAGCCAUGCAAGUCAUAUGUUCCUCGUGAACAUGGCAUACUGCUCAGUAACACGUGGAUAACCUGCCCUUGGGUCUGGGAUAACCCCGGGAAACUGGGGAUAAUACCGGAUAACGCAUAUGUGCUGGAAUGCUUUAUGCGUAAAAUGGAUUCGUCCGCCCAAGGAUGGGUCUGCGGCCUAUCAGGUAGUAGUGGGUGUAAUGUACCUACUAGCCAACAACGGGUACGGGUUGUGAGAGCAAGAGCCCGGAGAUGGAUUCUGAGACAUGAAUCCAGGCCCUACGGGGCGCAGCAGGCGCGAAAACUUUACAAUGCGGGAAACCGUGAUAAGGGAACACCGAGUGCCAGCAUCAUAUGCUGGCUGUCCAGAUGUGUAAACUACAUCUGUUAGCAAGGGCCGGGCAAGACCGGUGCCAGCCGCCGCGGUAACACCGGCGGCCCGAGUGGUGACCGUUAUUAUUGGGUCUAAAGGGUCCGUAGCCGGUUUGGUCAGUCCUCCGGGAAAUCUGAUAGCUUAACUGUUAGGCUUUCGGGGGAUACUGCCAGGCUUGGAACCGG